GCCUGGGUGGCUUAUUUGAUUAAGCACCUGACUUUAGCUCAGGUCAUGAUCUCACGGUUCGUGGGUUUGAGCCCCACAUUGGGCU
Molecule: transfer RNA, 85 nt
Filed under: Felis catus (domestic cat)
Lineage: Eukaryota; Metazoa; Chordata; Mammalia; Carnivora; Felidae
Also listed under: 1 other name
Rfam family: tRNA
About the family: Transfer RNA (tRNA) molecules are approximately 80 nucleotides in length. Their secondary structure includes four short double-helical elements and three loops (D, anti-codon, and T loops).
Source: Rfam by way of RNAcentral